CACCUGCACCUGAUUCCGAGGC
RNAcentral lists this unclassified non-coding RNA (22 nucleotides) under Dictyostelium discoideum. Lineage: Eukaryota; Evosea; Eumycetozoa; Dictyosteliales; Dictyosteliaceae. The record is from RNAcentral.